GUUUCAAUUCCUCUUAGGCAGGCUAAAAAC
Non-coding RNA from Peptococcaceae bacterium SCADC1_2_3, 30 nucleotides. NCBI's taxonomy places the organism in Bacteria, Bacillati, Bacillota, Clostridia, Eubacteriales, Peptococcaceae. The record is from Rfam.